UUCGCAAUGCCCGAAAGGGUGACGAAGCGACGCCGCGUGCGGGAAGAAGGCCUUCGGGUUGUAAACCGCUGUCGGGAGUUAGGAAAUGCAAGGAUGUUAAUAGCGUCUUUGCUUGACUAAGGCUCCGGAGGAAGCCACGGCUAACUCUGUGCCAGCAGCCGCGGUAAUACAGAGGCGGCAAGCGUUGUUCGGAAUUAUUGGGCGUAAAGAGCACGUAGGCGGCCGUGUAAGUCGGUUGUGAAAGCCUUCCGCUCAACGGGAGAACGGCAUCCGAUACUGCAUGGCUCGAGUGCGGGAGGGGAGAGUGGAACUUCUGGUGGAGCGGUGAAAUGUGUAGAUAUCAGAAGGAACACCGGCGGCGAAGGCGACUCUCUGGCCCGUAACUGACGCUGAGUGUGCGAAAGCUAGGGGAGCAAACGGGAUUAGAUACCCCGGUAGUCCUAGCCGUAAACGAUGGGCACUAAGUAGAGGGGUUUU
Molecule: ribosomal RNA, 477 nt
Filed under: uncultured bacterium
Lineage: Bacteria
Description: bacterial SSU rRNA
Rfam family: Bacterial small subunit ribosomal RNA
Source: RNAcentral